Molecule: ribosomal RNA, 406 nt
Filed under: uncultured bacterium
Lineage: Bacteria
Description: partial 16S ribosomal RNA
Rfam family: Bacterial small subunit ribosomal RNA
Source: RNAcentral
AUUGAACGCUGGCGGCAGGCUUAACACAUGCAAGUCGAGCGAGCGGCGGACGGGUGAGUAAUGUCUGGGAAACUGCCUGAUGUAGGGGGAUCACUACUGGAAACGGUAGCUAAUACCGCAUACCAUCAGAUGUGCCCAGAUGGGAUUAGCUAGUCGGUGGGGUAAUGGCUCACCUAGGCGACGAUCCCUAGCUGGUCUGAGAGGAUGCCCAGCCACACUGGAACUGAGACACGGUCCAGACUCCUACGGGAGGAAGCAGUGGGGAAGAGUGCACAAUGGGCGAAAGCCGGAUGCAGCCAUGCCGCGUGUGUGAAGAAGGCCUUCGGGUUGUAAAGCACUUUCAGCGAGGAGGCGUUACUCGCAGAAGAAGCACCGGCUAACGCCGUGCCAGCAGCCGCGGUAAUUC